UUGUUAGUUUUUUUUCUUGCGUGUUCUUCUUUUUCCCGCUGACUAGACGAUGAAGACAACACGUUUUUGAUUCAAAAGGGCCCCCCCCCCCCCCAAUUAUUCGUUCUUCAUUCAUUUGCCGCCGCCACCGCGCGCAAAUCCCAUCACAAUCCAGUAUUUCUCUCCCGAUGCCACUCACUCAUUCAGUUCUA
Non-coding RNA from Caenorhabditis elegans, 191 nucleotides. The record is from Ensembl. NCBI's taxonomy places the organism in Eukaryota, Metazoa, Nematoda, Chromadorea, Rhabditida, Rhabditidae.